RNAcentral lists this ribosomal RNA (575 nucleotides) under uncultured bacterium. Its description in RNAcentral is "partial 16S ribosomal RNA". It matches the Rfam family "Bacterial small subunit ribosomal RNA", at positions 355 to 923 of the family's 1533-position model. The record is from RNAcentral.
UGGGGAAUUUUGGACAAUGGGCGAAAGCCUGAUCCAGCAAUGCCGCGUGUGUGAAGAAGGCCUUCGGGUUGUAAAGCACUUUUGUCCGGAAAGAAAUCCUUGGCUCUAAUACAGUCGGGGGAUGACGGUACCGGAAGAAUAAGCACCGGCUAACUACGUGCCAGCAGCCGCGGUAAUACGUAGGGUGCAAGCGUUAAUCGGAAUUACUGGGCGUAAAGCGUGCGCAGGCGGUUUGCUAAGACCGAUGUGAAAUCCCCGGGCUCAACCUGGGAACUGCAUUGGUGACUGGCAGGCUAGAGUAUGGCAGAGGGGGGUAGAAUUCCACGUGUAGCAGUGAAAUGCGUAGAGAUGUGGAGGAAUACCGAUGGCGAAGGCAGCCCCCUGGGCCAAUACUGACGCUCAUGCACGAAAGCGUGGGGAGCAAACAGGAUUAGAUACCCUGGUAGUCCACGCCCUAAACGAUGUCAACUAGUUGUUGGGGAUUCAUUUCCUUAGUAACGUAGCUAACGCGUGAAGUUGACCGCCUGGGGAGUACGGUCGCAAGAUUAAAACUUAAAGGAAUUGACGGGGUCAUU